GACCUCCCGGGAUCGCGUCUGGAGAGUGCCCAGUCCUCUGCCAGCUUCGGAAGCGGGAGGGAGAGCAAGGCCGCGGAGCACCCAUUCCAUUCCCAGCUUGCUCGGUAGCUGGUGACUGGAAGACCCUCUGCUACAGGG
This is a small nucleolar RNA of Oryctolagus cuniculus (rabbit), 138 nucleotides long. The record is from Ensembl. NCBI's taxonomy places the organism in Eukaryota, Metazoa, Chordata, Mammalia, Lagomorpha, Leporidae.